RNAcentral lists this ribosomal RNA (423 nucleotides) under uncultured Ethanoligenens sp. Its description in RNAcentral is "bacterial SSU rRNA". It matches the Rfam family "Bacterial small subunit ribosomal RNA", at positions 355 to 794 of the family's 1533-position model. The record is from RNAcentral. Lineage: Bacteria; Bacillati; Bacillota; Clostridia; Eubacteriales; Oscillospiraceae.
UGGGGGAUAUUGCACAAUGGAGGAAACUCUGAUGCAGCGAUGCCGCGUGAGGGAAGAAGGUUUUCGGAUUGUAAACCUCUGUGGAGGGGGACGACAAUGACGGUACCCCUUUAGGAAGCCACGGCUAACUACGUGCCAGCAGCCGCGGUAAUACGUAGGUGGCGAGCGUUGUCCGGAAUUACUGGGUGUAAAGGGUGCGCAGGCGGGACUGCAAGUUGGAUGUGAAAUACCGAGGCUUAACCUCGGAGCUGCAUCCAAAAACUGUGGUUCUUGAGUGAAGUAGAGGUAGGCGGAAUUCCGAGUGUAGCGGUGAAAUGCGUAGAUAUUCGGAGGAACACCAGUGGCGAAGGCGGCCUACUGGGCUUUAACUGACGCUGAGGCACGAAAGUAUGGGGAGCAAACAGGAUUAGAUACCCUGGUAGU